RNAcentral lists this ribosomal RNA (1429 nucleotides) under Ololygon sp. KAV6. RNAcentral's name for it is "partial 16S large subunit ribosomal RNA". It matches the Rfam family "Bacterial large subunit ribosomal RNA", at positions 260 to 2597 of the family's 2925-position model. The record is from RNAcentral. Lineage: Eukaryota; Metazoa; Chordata; Amphibia; Anura; Hylidae.
GCCUAAAAUCUAGCUCAACAUUACUCUAACAACCCCUCUAACCUUUCCUCGUAAAACAAAACAUUCUAAUGUCUUAGUAAAGGAGAUUGAAAAAUCAACUGGAGCAAUAAUAAUAGUACCGCAAGGGAAAGAUGAAAUAAUAAUGAAAUAAUAUUAAGCGCAACAAAGUAGAGAUCCAACCUCGUACCUUUUGCAUCAUGGUCUAACUAGUCUAACCAAGCAAAAAGCUAUUGCAGUUUGACCCCCCGAAACUAAGCGAGCUACUUCAAGGCAGCUUUUUGAGCCAACCCGUCUCUGUUGCAAAAGAGUGGGACGACCUUCAAGUAGAGGUGACAGGCCUAACGAGCUUAGUGAUAGCUGGUUACUCAAGAAAGGGAUUUUAGUCCAGCCUAGAGUUUAACUUUUAAUUUAAAAUUCACCCUUAACUCCAGAGCAACUCAAAUAAGGUACAGCCUAUUUGAAACAGGAUACAACCUCAACUGACGGGUAAUAGACUUUUUAAUCAACUUAGUGGGCCUAAAAGCAGCCACCUUAAAAAGCGUCAAAGCUUUAUUGAUGAGCUAAAAUAAUUCCCAAACAUAUUUUUAACCCUCUAACCAUAUUGAGUAGUUCUAUAAUAAUAUAGAACCUAUAAUGUUAAAACUAGUAACAAGAAGCUAACCUUCUCUUUAAUGCAAGUAUAAAUCAGCAAGGAUCAACCACUGAUACUUAACGUCUAUGAACACUCAUUAGUAACCCCUAACAAGAAAACCCUAAUAUUCACCUCACGUUAAACUUACACAAGAGCAUUACAAGAAAGAUUAAAAGAAAAAGAAGGAACUCGGCAAACCUUAACCCCGCCUGUUUACCAAAAACAUCGCCUCUUGGAUGAACAUAAGAGGUCCAGCCUGCCCAGUGACCACAGUUCAACGGCCGCGGUAUCCUGACCGUGCGAAGGUAGCGUAAUCACUUGUUCUUUAAAUAAGGACUAGUAUGAACGGCAUCACGAGGGUUAUACUGUCUCCUUUUUCCAAUCAGUGAAACUAAUCUCCCCGUGAAGAAGCGGGGAUAAUUCUAUAAGACGAGAAGACCCUAUGGAGCUUUAAAUUUUAUUACAACUGCCCGAUUUAUUUGCUAGUCCUGACUUCAUCUAUCAAAUUCAGCAUUAUGAUAAUAAAUUUUAGGUUGGGGUGACCACGGAGCACAAAAAAACCUCCGCAUUGAACUAAGCUUAAAAGCUUUUAGCAAAGAACCACAACUCUAUGCAAUAACACAUUAACAUUCAUUGACCCAAUAUUUUGAUCAACGGACCAAGUUACCCUAGGGAUAACAGCGCAAUCUACUUUGAGAGCUCCUAUCGACAAGUGGGUUUACGACCUCGAUGUUGGAUCAGGGUAUCCCAGUGGUGCAGCCGCUACUAAUGGUUCGUUUGUUCAACGAUUAAAACCCU